This 648-nucleotide ribosomal RNA is filed under the name Triticum aestivum (bread wheat). RNAcentral describes it as "partial small subunit ribosomal RNA". Lineage: Eukaryota; Viridiplantae; Streptophyta; Magnoliopsida; Poales; Poaceae. The record is from RNAcentral.
AUGAUGUGCGGUUUCAGUACUACUAGGUGUGAGGAGGAGGAGGUUAGCCUUGAUGGUCAGGUGGUACCUCGGAAGGACACCUUUCGGUAUUUGGGGUCAAUGCUGCAGGAGGAUGGGGGUAUUGAUGAAGAUGUGAACCAUCGGAUCAAAGCCGGAUGGAUGAAGUGGCGCCAAGCUUCUGGCAUUCUCUGUGACAAGAGAGUGCCACAAAAGCUAAAAGGCAAGUUCUACAGGACGGCUGUUCGACCCGCAAUGUUGUAUGGCGCUGAGUGUUGGCCGACUAAAAGGCGACAUGUUCAACAGUUAGGUGUGGCGGAGAUGCGUAUGUUGAGAUGGAUGUGUGGCCACACGAGGAAGGAUCGAGUCCGGAAUGAUGAUAUACGAGAUAGAGUUGGGGUAGCACCAAUUAAAGAGAAGCUUGUCCAACAUCGUCUGAGAUGGUUUGGGCAUAUCCAGCGCAGGCCUCCAGAAGCUCCAGUGCAUAGCGGAUGGCUAAAGCGUGUGGAGAAUGUCAAGAGAGGGCGGGGUAGACCGAAUUUGACAUGGGAGGAGUCCGUUAAGAGAGACCUGAAGGAUUGGGGUAUCACCGAAGAGCUAGCUAUGGACAGGGGUGCAUGGAAGCUUGCUAUCCAUGUGCCAGAGCCAUGA